AGAUUGAACGCUGGCGGCAGGCCUAACACAUGCAAGUCGAGCGGCAGCACGGGUACUUGUACCUGGUGGCGAGCGGCGGACGGGUGAGUAAUGCCUAGGAAUCUGCCUGAUAGUGGGGGGAUAACGUUCGGAAACGGACGCUAAUACCGCAUACGUCCUACGGGAGAAAGUGGGGGAUCUUCGGACCUCACGCUAUCAGAUGAGCCUAGGUCGGAUUAGCUAGUUGGUAGGGUAAAGGCCUACCAAGGCUACGAUCCGUAACUGGUCUGAGAAGAUGAUCAGUCACACUGGAACUGAGACACGGUCCAGACUCCUACGGGAGCAGCAGUGGGAAUAUUGGACAAUGGGCAGAGCCUGAUCCAGCCAUGCCGCGUGUGUGAAGAGGGUCUUCGGAUUGGUAAAAGCUAACGUUUUAAGGUGGGAAGGAAGGCAAUUAACCUAAUACGUUAGUGUUUUGACGUUACGACAGAAUAAGCACGGCUAACUCUGUGCCAG
Molecule: ribosomal RNA, 495 nt
Filed under: uncultured soil bacterium
Lineage: Bacteria
Description: bacterial SSU rRNA
Rfam family: Bacterial small subunit ribosomal RNA
Source: RNAcentral